ACAUUACUGCGGCCAUGCCAGUCGUGUUGCGGCAAGCACGCGUCAGUAAAAGCUCCCUAUCCUAGAGCUAACUUAGUGCCACUAAUUCUAGUUUUAUUUACAAGGAAAAAUGGCGGCGGAAGGCGGAACACCAGGCGGCUUGGCUCCAGCAGAACCACAAACUGGGCCAGAUGGAGAGAUCAUUGGAGGACCUCGAACGCCACAGCAGAUUGCAGCACAGAGGAGGCUGCAACAGACUCAGGCACAAGUCGACGAGGUGGUUGAUAUAAUGAAAACGAACGUUGAGAAGGUGUUAGACAGGGAUGCAAAGUUAUCAGAAUUAGACGACAGAGCAGAUGCACUUCAGCAAGGAGCGUCGCAGUUUGAGCAGCAGGCAAAGAGUUUGAAAAACAAAUUUUGGCUACAAAAUCUUAAGAUGAUGAUCAUAAUGGGUGUCAUUGGAAUCGUUAUAAUAGGCCUACUGUUUGGUGAUAACAUUAAACAAAUGUUUGGUUAGUUCGAUACCGUGGCACACCGAAUGUGGCCGGCGUAGUCACUCCGGCUGUAACCGGCAAUGCUACUGCAGUUAUUACUCAUAAUAAUUGAAAAUACAUGUAACCAUUCAUCGCAGGAUCUCUUCUUCUAAAGAAUGUAAUUACAAUUAUUAAUAAAUCUGUAAAACAAUAUAAUAAUAAACAAAUGAACUGUAGAACCUAGCAUAGAAAUACGUGUACGGUUAAAAGAAAAUAUAACUAUACAGAAUAUGAAAACUAUGAAAGCUGUAAACUAAAAUGCUCAGCAUUUAGAUAUUGUACAAUAGCUUUUUACAUAAACAGAAAACUAGAGAAAAUGUCAUUGAAUAUUUAUCAGACUUUACUUUGGUUGUGUAAAUAAUAUCUAACUUUUAUUAAUAAAUCAAAAACAAUUUUACUGAAAUCUGUACCUAAGUAAUUUAUUUAUUUAAAAAUACAACAGGGGCAUAAUAAAAUCAAUGAAAAUUUUAAAAUAAUUUAUAAUGAAAUAGAUGUUAUCUGGUAUAAUAAAAUUUCAUAUUGUUUUGGUCUCACGGCACAAUAAUAAUUCGAUGCUAGGUACUUAUAUUAAUAGUUACAUUAAAAUGUAACGUUUCGUCAAAUUAAUCGAAAUAUCUUCAUGCGUUGUAAAUAAGAAGCGCUAAAGUAGAAAAGUUUAUUUCCGUGCCUUGACUUUAUCUGUAAUUUGUGAUAUCGUAUUGCAUUGUAAUUUAUUAAUUGUUAAAUCAAAUUGUAAUUAAAUGAAUGUACUAUUUGCAAAUUAAGUAAGUUUCAAUAUCGGCCUACGAAAUUAGUGGUUUUGUUUGAAGACUUUAAAACUAUUUAAAAUAUUAUGUUUCUUAAUAUUGUUCUAGUAAUUAAAUUAUUAGCAAUGAUUAAUAGUGAAAAAAAAUUGAUAAAUUAAAGGAAUACGAAAAACGCCAAAAUUUAAUAAUUUUAGAAGUAUGGAAUUAAAUAGUUAUUAGGAUUAAGAAGUUCCAGUUCGUUAAUUAAUUAUUAUUAUUAUUAUUACUAAUGAUGCGAAUCUGAUUUAACUAUAAUUUUAAUUUAGCGUUAUAUAACUUUUAUUAUGAUUUAAUAAGGUAGGUUUGCAACGCACAAACGAAAGAAAAAACAAGUUAAUUUUAAUUGCAACGAAAUAGAGACAUUAUUUCAAUAUUGUUUGUACGAAUCAACUAUUAUGUUCUAGCGUAAUUCACAUUUAUAUUAUUAUUGUUAAGAUGAAGCAGACAAUAUAUUAUGUAUUUAAAUCAAUUAUGUUUCUACGGACAAAUAUAUGAUCUCAGAAUUUGAUUGCUCAGCACAUUUUUCUAAUCGUGCAAUUUUACCGCUUUAAUGUAAUUAUUUUUUCUUAAAAAUUUUGUGCUAUAAAUAUUUCUAACUGUGCACACUAGUAAUUAUUUUCUUUUGUUUGAAACUAGCUUACAAGUUUAGUGCUUUUCACCUCAAUCCGAUGAAUGAUGCACGAACACAUAGGUAACGAACAGACACACAGAUAGACAGACAAACAAAAAUUUUUAUAUACUUAUAAGAUUAAUCAUAGCACAAAUUUUUAAAAAUAAGUUCGGAUAAACGGGUUUAGAUACUUGUGAAGCGAAUGUACAAAAGGAUAAACUUUAUUUUGUUUAAAGUAUUAUGAGUUUCGUUUAGAUUCCAAAAUAAAUAUUUUCUUCAAAAAAAUAACGUAGGUAUGUGGUAAGUAUAGUGAAUAAAGAAAGCUAGAUAUAAUAUCGGAAAGAGGGUAAAUACUGAGAGAGAAAAAAAUAAUUUAGGAAUUAUUUCCAUUUUGGCCUUAUUUAUUGUUAGUGUUUUAUGUUACAGUUGCGAACAUUGCUUUGUGUGAUACCUUCGUUUUAAAAUAUGAUUUCAAACAUAGAGACGAUACCAGCAACGAAGCCAUUAACUUUUACAAGUUAUUAUUACCAAAUUAAAAUAUUAAAAAUAUUUAUCAGAUGUAAAAUGAUAAUUAUAGGAAUAAAAUUGGAGAUUUUAUCAUUUAAUAUAUGAUAAUCAAAAUAAUUUAAUAUCUGAUAAUCAAUUCUGGAAAUUAUCAUUUACCAAAUAAAUAUUGAAUAUUAGGAGGGCAUCACACUAAGUAAAACUUUAAUUAAUUCUAAGUAUAUUUAAAUAUUAAAUUAGCAUAUUAUUUACACCUACGGGAAAGGAAUGGUGCCAUUGACAAUAUUAGUUAUUUUAUCAAAGAAGGAUUAAAAAUUUACACAUAAUUAAUUAUUAAAUUAUUUCCUAGCCAUUUUACUAACGCUUAAGACUUUACUAUCUUGUGCAUAUUUUUUACACUAAGCAUAAUACUUAAUUGUUACCUAUACUUUAUUUUAUUGGAUUAUUGCUAGCAAUUUUAUGAUUGAAAUUAUGUACAUGUAUUUAAAAUUUAAAUAGGUAGUCUGAUUUUAUUACCAGAUAUUUAUUAUUUUAUUUUAAAGAAUUAUCGAGACAUAAUUUUAAUUUCUUAUGUGAAUGAAACUUUGAAUUUGUUGUUCGUAUGUAUUAUGAAAAUCUUGAUAAAUUUAUUAUUGCAAAAUAUAUAAUAUUACUAAACAAUUGCACUCUUAUCACUAAGAUUUUAAAUUAAGGUGUUCAAUGUGAAACCAUGUUGUCUUUUUCUGAAAUGGCAAGUUAUAUUGGUUUCAAUAAAAGAAUUAGAAAAAAUACAAGCAAUGUUUCACAUUAAUUGAAAUGUUUUUUUUUUUUAGUAAU
Molecule: RNA transcript, 3227 nt
Organism: Maniola jurtina (meadow brown)
Lineage: Eukaryota; Metazoa; Arthropoda; Insecta; Lepidoptera; Nymphalidae
Gene name: vesicle-associated membrane protein 2-like
Exons: 7
Source: RefSeq, a predicted model, not a curated record